RNAcentral lists this ribosomal RNA (437 nucleotides) under grassland soil clone sl1_220. RNAcentral describes it as "bacterial SSU rRNA". It matches the Rfam family "Bacterial small subunit ribosomal RNA", at positions 50 to 503 of the family's 1533-position model. The record is from RNAcentral.
AACACAUGCAAGUCGAACGAGAAAGUGGAGCAAUCCAUGAGUACAGUGGCGAACGGGUGAGUAACACGUGACUAACCUGCCUUCGAGUGGGGGAUAACCUCGGGAAACCGGGGCUAAUACCGCAUACAUCCUCAGGGUGCAAUUCCCAGGGGACCAAAGGCGUAAGACGCUUGAAGAGGGGGUCGCGGCUGAUUAGCUAGUUGGUGAGGUAAUGGCUCACCAAGGCGAAGAUCGGUAGCCGGCCUGAGAGGGCGCACGGCCACACUGGAACUGAAACACGGUCCAGACUCCUACGGGAGGCAGCAGUGGGGAAUUUUGCGCAAUGGGGGAAACCCUGACGCAGCAACGCCGCGUGGAGGAUGAAGCCCCUUGGGGCGUAAACUCCUUUCGAUCGGGACGAUUAUGACGGUACCGGAUGAAGAAGCACCGGCUAACUC